This is a long non-coding RNA of Cavia porcellus (domestic guinea pig), 2424 nucleotides long. RefSeq lists it as uncharacterized. The record is from RefSeq and is a predicted model, not a curated record. The transcript has 2 exons. NCBI's taxonomy places the organism in Eukaryota, Metazoa, Chordata, Mammalia, Rodentia, Caviidae.
GGGGGCUUGCAUUGGCCCUGCAGUGAAAACUCCUUCCUCAUCCUGGGGAGGAAGGAAGAAGGCUUCCAGCCAGCCAGGGGCCCCCUGAGGCCUGGGGCAGAGGAGAGAAAGACAGAAAUAGAAACAGAGCAGGAGGGAGGAGGAUGGAUUUGGGCAGACAGGGUGGGAGGCAGCAAGGACAGCAGCUCCGGCCGGAGAAUCACAGGCCAGGAGGUGCCUCACCCUGUGGUCCAGCCACACUCAUUCGUGUCACUCGUGAUGACGCGUAGGCCGUGUGAGGCUCCCACCAGCCAGACACUGCGCUCAGGAACCCUCCCUGAAGAGUGAGCCCAGGCCCUCGUGCAUACUAGGCAACCACUGUGCUACUGUGUGACACAUCCAGCUCCAGAGCUCAGAAGACCAGAGGCUGAUGGAAAUCCUGCCAGUAAAGACCAGGCUGGGAAAUUCCUGUUGGAAAGAAGGACAUCGUUGGCUGUUGGACUCCAGAUGAUGUGUUACAGUUUGACAGAAAGUUUGUUUGUAUUUUGCUCAUGUCCAGAGACUACCCGAGACCGUGAUUAAGAGUGGUGGACUAACUGACCUGGCAGAAGAAACUUCCAGGCAAUCUAAUGUUGAGGUGGUAGUGUGGCUACUAUUGAGGGCUUUAAGUCAGAUUUUUGUUGAGAAUAGAGAGCAAGGAAGCCAGAAGAAUGAUUUAAGAUGUUUUGAGUUUGGCCAGGAAGGAAGCUCUAGUAAAAUUGUGGACUGCAAAGACAGAACAGAGCAGAUCUUGAUUGCUGAAGGUGAGCAGGAAAAUAGAAAAGGUAGCCUGAGGGCAUCACAAGAAGCAGCAGGACUACACCUUGCAGCCUUGUAAUUGCAAAGUGAAAGAUGAUGUUUUGAGAAAAGAGUCCCAGAGCACCAUGUUCCAGAAUGGUGGUGGCCUAAGGAAAUUAUUCCUUGGGAUUUGGUUCUACAGCCAAGAGAGAAGGAAACCUGGCUACUGUGCCAUCUGCUGGCAGACCUUGGCAUUAUUUAUGUGGUGCUGGUUUCAGGUGCAUACAGAAUGCAAGAGCUGUGGCGUCAGGAAGACUUCCACCCAGAUUUCAGAAGAAGGCCUGGGAGGUCAGACAGUGUGCCCUGAGAGGGCAGUGUGUGCAUCUGUGAGUGUGAAGCUGAAGGUGCAGUGGAGAUCCCCAGAGGCUGGGGAAUCCAGGAGCAUGGAUCAGCCAAGGAAAGAUGCAAAGAGGGAGUGAAGCCAGCCAUAGAAAGAAACCAUGAGAGCUACAACCACUAGAAGCCACAGGAGUGGAGCUGCCUGUGCCCUUUGGAGUUCACAUCUUGCCACAGACUUCUGGGAAUACUGGAAGUGGAAAUGUGGGAUAUAAUGUUUUCCCUGCUGAGUUUUUGACUUGCUUUGUUCCCAUUCCUUGCCAUCCCCCUGUUUGAACUUUUGAAUGGCAAUGUCAGUUUUGUGCCACUGAAUGUUGGAAGAGUUUAACUUUCUUGCGGCUAACAAUUUGCCUUAAAUCUCAGAGGAGACUCUGGACUAGGACCUUUUAGCAGUGCUGAAACUGUUAGGACUUUGGUAACUCUUAGAGAUGGCUAAAUCCCUUUUGCAUUAAGGAACGUGCAUGAGUCCAUAGAGGGCCAAGGCAGAAUGUUAUGGCUUGGUGUUUAGCUGUCUGCCCAAAGCCUCGUGCAGUCAUAGGUGGGGCUUUUUUGGGAGUGGCUAGGUCCAGAGUGUGUGAUGCUGGAACUGAUUCACGGGAUAAUGCUAGGACUGAGGGCUCUAGGACUGAAGGUGUGAGUGUUACCCCCCUUAAGCCUGGGUAAGGUAUAAGGGAUAGAAAGAGCUGUGGUCAUGCCUUGUGGUCCUGCUACCUUCUGCCCAUAGAACUGGUAUUUUUCUGCCAUGCCACCCUGCCUUGGAGCCAGAUGAUUAUAGAGUGAAACCUCUACAAACUGUGAGAUAAAUAAAUUUGUGGGUGUUGGGUGUUUUGCCUUAGCAGUGAGAAAAGUAACUAAGACAAUAUGCAUUUGCAGUACAUAAUGAUGACAUGCAUUUAUACACAUAAAUGUCAUCGUGAUGACAUUUUAAUUUUUUUCAUUCCCAUUGCUGCCAUCCCUCCCUGCCUCCUCCAGUUUAUUUAUUUAUUUAGUCUUUUUUGAGACAGUGUUUCAUUAUGCUACUCAGGCUGGGUUUGGACUCAGUUGCCCAGGCUGGUCUUGAACUCACAGCAAUCCUUCUGCCUCAUCCUCCCAAGUGCUGGAAUUACAGGCAUGUGUCACCACUUCCAGCUCCCUCCAACUCUUCAUCCCCUUCCCAUUUAAUUUUUUGAGACAGGGUCUCAUCUGGCCUUGAACUCUCAGUGAUCUUCCUGCCUCAGCUUUCCAAGUGGUGGGACUACAGACACAGGCCACCACACCGGCCUCCUUUCCCAU